Molecule: long non-coding RNA, 204 nt
Organism: Arabidopsis thaliana (thale cress)
Lineage: Eukaryota; Viridiplantae; Streptophyta; Magnoliopsida; Brassicales; Brassicaceae
Product: other RNA
Exons: 1
Source: RefSeq
GAUUUGGUGUUGCAUGAUUGUUGCCGACAUAUUGGGGAUUUAUUCAUCCAACGAAUACAAAAAUUCAGUGUUUGUUGUUUUCUUAUGCGUGUCUUUUUGGUCCCACUCUAAGACUACCGUCACAAGCGGUCAUACACAGUCCCCAUAACUGUCUCACUGACUAGUCCCUCCUCGAGUAAUGUGAAAGCCGAAGCUUCAUCGCCU